AGCGAACGCUGGCGGCAGGCCUAACACAUGCAAGUCGAACGGAUCCUUCGGGAUUAGUGGCGGACGGGUGAGUAACACGUGGGAACGCGCCCUUUGGUUCGGAGCAACUCAGGGAAACUUGAGCUAAUACCGGAUGUGCCCUUCGGGGGAAAGAUUUAUCGCCAUUGGAGCGGCCCGCGUCUGAUUAGCUAGUUGGGGGGGUAAAGGCCCACCAAGGCGACGAUCAGUAGCUGGUCUGAGAAGAUGAUCAGCCACAUUGGGAAUGGGACACGGCCCAAACUCCUACGGGAGGCAGCAGUGGGGAAUUUUGCGCGAUGGGCGAAAGCCUGACGCAGCCAUGCCGCGUGAAUGAUGAAGGUCUUAGGAUUGUAAAAUUCUUUCACCGGGGACGAUAAUGGCGGUACCCGGAGAAGAAGCCCCGGCUAACUUCGUGCCAGCCGCCGCCGUAA
Molecule: ribosomal RNA, 449 nt
Filed under: uncultured bacterium
Lineage: Bacteria
Description: partial 16S ribosomal RNA
Rfam family: Bacterial small subunit ribosomal RNA
Source: RNAcentral